RNAcentral lists this ribosomal RNA (445 nucleotides) under uncultured bacterium. Its description in RNAcentral is "bacterial SSU rRNA". It matches the Rfam family "Bacterial small subunit ribosomal RNA", at positions 354 to 796 of the family's 1533-position model. The record is from RNAcentral.
GUGAGGAAUAUUGGACAAUGGGCGCAAGCCUGAUCCAGCCAUGCCGCGUGCAGGAUGACGGUCCUAUGGAUUGUAAACUGCUUUUGUACAGGAAGAAACAACUCUACGUGUAGAGUCUUGACGGUACUGUAAGAAUAAGGAUCGGCUAACUCCGUGCCAGCAGCCGCGGUAAUACGGAGGAUCCAAGCGUUAUCCGGAAUCAUUGGGUUUAAAGGGUCCGUAGGCGGUUUAGUAAGUCAGUGGUGAAAGCCCAUCGCUCAACGGUGGAACGGCCAUUGAUACUGCUAGACUUGAAUUAUUAGGAAGUAACUAGAAUAUGUAGUGUAGCGGUGAAAUGCUUAGAGAUUACAUGGAAUACCAAUUGCGAAGGCAGGUUACUACUAAUGGAUUGACGCUGAUGGACGAAAGCGUGGGUAGCGAACAGGAUUAGAAACCCGAGUAGUCC